This 371-nucleotide long non-coding RNA is filed under the name Malus domestica (apple). Its description in RNAcentral is "long non-coding RNA (MDOM_LNC007169)". The record is from RNAcentral. Lineage: Eukaryota; Viridiplantae; Streptophyta; Magnoliopsida; Rosales; Rosaceae.
UCUCCGCCACGCGAACCGACGGAAUUACAAUUGGGAUCUGAGAAUCGGCGGCUUCCGGGGCUUUUCCGGCGGAAUCGUCGAGGUUGGUUAUGUGUUUUUGGUCCUCCAUCACUACAUAGACGGUGAAACAGAGUUUCCGGCGAGCCCUGUGGAGUGCUGACUUCUGGUUGCGGAGAUUUGGGAACAAGACGGUGGUGGGGUUGGGUUUUGGGAGGUGGUAGGAGGAGGAGUGGAUUAGGCGGAAGGGGGUGGGGGUUGUGACGGCGAAGAGUCCGACCGCCAUGGAAGUAUACUUGUUGGUGAUGAGGUUGAGCGUUGAGAUAGAGAGUUGAAGGUGCGUGGAAACGGAGCGAAGGGAGACCACAACUUUC